AUUGAACGCUGGCGGCAUGCUUUACACAUGCAAGUCGAACGGCAGCGCGGGCUUCGGCCUGGCGGCGAGUGGCGAACGGGUGAGUAAUACAUCGGAACGUGCCCAGUAGUGGGGGAUAGCUCGGCGAAAGCCGGAUUAAUACCGCAUACGACCUGAGGGUGAAAGCGGGGGAGCUUCGGACCUCUCGCUAUGGUGGGGGCGGAUGGCAGAUUAGCUAGUUGGUGGGUUAAAGGCCUACCAAGGCGACGAUCUGUAGCUGGUCUGAGAGGACGACCAGCCACACUGGGACUGAGACACGGCCCAGACUCCUACGGGAGGCAGCAGUGGGGAAUUUUGGACAAUGGGCGAAAGCCUGAUCCAGCAAUGCCGCGUGUGUGAUGAAGGCCUUCGGGUUGUAAAGCACUUUUGGCGGGAACGAAAAGGACUGUGCCAAUACCACGGUUCGAUGACGGUACCCGCAGAAUAAGCACCGGCUAACUACGUG
Molecule: ribosomal RNA, 484 nt
Filed under: uncultured bacterium
Lineage: Bacteria
Description: partial 16S ribosomal RNA
Rfam family: Bacterial small subunit ribosomal RNA
Source: RNAcentral